AUGACAGUCUCUUUCCCACCUCCCAGAAGAGGAUGAGAAUAAAUCCAGCGAUAAUGGGAAGAGUGUGAUGUGAGGCAGAGCUAACAUCACAGAGAUCCCAGGGAACAUUAUUUUUCCCUCUCCUUUCUAAAGACACCAUAAAAAGCUCCAGAUUUUUCUUUCUGAGUGGUGACUGCUUUAAAGAAUAUAAAAUCUGAGAUACUGUGAACCCCCACAUGAUUUCACCUCUGGCAACUGAUGUGAGACACAGUGAUGGGACUUCAUGGUUGUUAUAUUUGACUUGCAGCCUUGGG
Molecule: long non-coding RNA, 293 nt
Filed under: Homo sapiens (human)
Lineage: Eukaryota; Metazoa; Chordata; Mammalia; Primates; Hominidae
Description: HSALNT0017003
Source: RNAcentral